UCCAAUACUAGUUUGUGUAUUUGUUGCUCAAAUCUUUCCAACUUUUGCCAUUAGAAGAGCUUGCAAAUGAUUGCUGUGUCCCUUUGACAUACCCCUAUCAAUUUUUUCUUUUGGUGGUUUCUGUUACUUUUUUCAUCACUUACUUUCUAGCACUACAAGAUACUCCAGGAUCAUAUGUUAUAUUUCUUGCCCCAGAUCUAGAAUCAGGUUUUUGUCCAAGGACCCUUGGUUCCUUUUCUUAGAAGCCAAGAUCUGGGUGCUAUUGUGUUCAUUUCUACACUGUUGACAUUUUAGGCUUGAUAACUCUUUGUCUUUGGGACAUGUUCUGUGUACUGUAAAGUCUUUAACACCAUCACUGGCCUCAGCCUCUUAGAUACCAAUGGCAACCCUCCUUCUCCAGUUGUGAAAAUCAGUAAUGUCUCCAGACAUUGUCAAAUGUCCCAUAGGGGGCAAAAUGGCCCCAGGUUGAGAAGCACUGGUGAGACAGACCUGCUGAAAAUGACAAGGAUAUAAUAUAAUAAAGAACAGUAGAAGAAUUGCAGAAGAAGCCUCUGAGCCUGUUUGUAGAGAUUGGGGAAGGAUUCACAGAGAAGGUAACAUCUGAACUGUUAAUUGAUUUGAUAUUUUUUGAGCCAUUAUCAUGAGCCAGAUAAAGGGUGAUUUUUUUUUUUUUGGCCCAACCCACAGCGUGUGAAAGUCCCCAGGUGAACCUGCGCCACAGCAGCGACCCAAGCUGCUUCAGUGGCCACAUCAGAUCCUUAAUCCACUGUGCCACAAGAGAAUUUGGUGAUGUUUUACUUUUGUUAUCUCAUAUCCCAGACGUAAAAAGCAGGUAUUGUGCAGGUGAAGAAACUAAAGUUCAAAGGGACAAAGUAACUUGCUUAGAGUACCUGAGGUGGUCUUAAAGGAUCCAGUUAGCCAUGCAGAUGGAGAGCUUUGAGGGCACUUACAUCUCCUCAUACUGCUCAAAUCUAGACUAUCUCAACCAUUCCUUUGUUUAUAAAAGUGCAGUACCAUCUCAUUUUUAAUUAAUUUUUUCCCCAUUGAGUUCUGUCUUCUUAAGAGCAGAAACCAUGCAGUGUUCAUCUAUAAUGCUCUCCAUGUCAUAGAUGUACCAGUAAACAUUAGUCCAGUCCACGAAAUUCCCCACUCAGAUUACAGAAUUAACUCAAGUCUCUUUCUGGUCAAACUGCUAUCCAACCAGCACCUCUGGUGGAGGGCUCACUGCCCAGCACACCAGCCAACCUCCUGUAGUGCUGGGCACUCUGCCUCCUCAUCGUUUUGCUGGCAGCACCUUGAAAGAGUUGCCUGACAUCAGUGACAUCCUCAAACUGUUACAGCCAGUAGCAUUUUGCCAUGGGUUAGAGCUGCAAAACGUGUUCUGUAAGGAAGGCAAAAAACACAUGAUAUACUUCUGAUACUAAAAUGCAAAAUGUGUUGUUACUGCUUUCCACAUGUAAUGCCAGUUAUCUACUUCGACAAUUCCUUUGUCUCAUGUGAUUCUUCUUUAAGUACAAAUUUAAGGUAUUACAUAGACUAUGAAAGGUAAUUUUUUCUCUUCAUUUCCCCUUCCUUUAAAUCCUUCACAUUCUUAUCCCAUUUUCCUUGUUUUGUUUUUUGGAGGUGGGAGUUUUUCUUAUUUAUUAAACAAAGCAGGGAAAAAUGCCCUGUUUUGUUUUUUUCCUUUUCUUUUUCUUAUAACUUCUGAAUCUGCUAUUUGCAGUUGCUAUGAAAUUUUAAGUCUAUUGAAUUAGAAGUUUCUCUCUCUGGUUUCAAGACUCACUUUCCUUCUUCCUUUCCUUUGCUAAAAUUCUGGUCUAAUUAAAAAAACAGUAGAUCAUAGUUAAAUAAAACUGUACCCAGGAUAACCCUAAUUUCCAUAUGCAGAUUUAUCUGCACUGACAGCCACCCCCCCCUUACACACACACUCUCUCGCUCUCAUUCUCCUUUCCCUCCUCUCCAUCUCCCUAUUGCAUUGUGUCUGACUGAUUUUCAGAGCACCUUGGCUGUUUCCCCCUUCUUAUUCUCUUUCUGUAAAAUAUCUAGACAGGAAGGAGGUGGAUGCAGAAGCUGAACAAACAAUCUCAUAUUCUUCUGCAAUGUCAUCGUUUCUUUCCCCCAUUUUAGGGGGCUGAAGUUGCCCAGGAAGGGGAUGCAGAGGAGCUGAAAGGAAGGGGGGAGCUCUCCAGAGGCAGCUGCGGUCAGGGGCAGGGACUGCCGCCAGAUGUGCCUGCCUCUCUGGGCUUUGAUGCGAAGGGGGCAGCAGGAGGAAAUAUUGGGAGACAAAAGCCCCGGUUUAAAUGAUCAUUUUCUUUAUUUAACAUGGCAGCAGACACUCUCUGCGUAGGAUCAUCAUGCCGAGCAUAAACUGGACUUUCCCACUUGCCUGGCAGGAGUGAGACAGAUCACUGUGUGCUAAAUGAGCAUCUGAGCAGAGAAGGAAUGAAUGCUGCAUAAUUAAGUACAGUAUUUAAUUUGGCUGUUGUGAAGCAAAAGAAUAAGGUAAUAAUUUUUAUUGUACUAAUCAGUCUCAAGAUGUUCUCUGUGUUAAUUGGGUUAAAAAAAUUGCAGUACUUAUUAGAAAUUCUAAUUUCACAAUGCAGCACUGACAAUAAGCUCAGCCAGUGAAUUAUUCACAUCUUUAAUUUGCUCACUUAAUGACAGUGUUCUGUAAUCAGAGUGCAGAGACUGCUGCCUAUGCAUUAUGUAUGAUGCUCAGGACUUAAAUGCAGGACAUUAUGAAGCUCUCAGUGGUUCAGUAAUUAGUUUUCCACAAGACAGGAUUUAGAUAUUCACAGAUAAAAGUCCACAGUUGGAUAAUGCUAAGGUUGCAACACAAAAUAACAAAGAAAGGGAAGCUCAAAGUUUAGACUGAAACUUUGUCUCUCCAGCAUGGUCCAUGGUGGAAACAGAAUCCAGCCACCUGAAAUAGUUGCCUAGCUCUGAUCACAUGUUUGAAAACUGUUUUUGAACAAAGUUGUAGCAGGCAAGGCAUAUGAACAAUUUCUGAGGACCAGAGGGGAAAGAUAAAACCUUUUUAAUUAGUGUUCACAGAAGCCCUGCAAUAUAUCCUCCUAAUAAGUCUGUAGUAUGCAUAGCAGGCAUUUUCAAUGUGCUUUGUAACUUAGUUAGUGCAAAUGCAAAUCAGGUUACAAUAGUGUUUGGUGUAAUUGUGUUUGUAAAAGGGUUACAUGCCCAAAUGGAGAUUGAGCUUGCUCAUGGUUUUGUUCCAGUCGCUUCUGAAGGGAGGUUUGAAAACCAAAUGAGAUAUUAAGUGAAUCUGGGCAUGAAAGGACGUAGAUCUGAAUUGUCAAUUGAAACUUCGGAAUUUCUUACACUUGUCAGUUUAGAGUUGUCAGUUUUUCUUUAGUGAUUCUGUCAUAAUUGUUCUGUUUUAAGUUAUAUAACUGUAUUGACUAUCCAGAGCCAUUAGUGAUAUUUUAAAAAUGUAUACUAACUUUGGGAAAACGUUUCAUGUUAUUACUUAUAUAGUUUAAUGAUUAAAUUGAAAUCUUUAACUGCAAUGGUUUUUUUUUUUUUUAAGACCAUACCACUUGGAGUAUUUUUAAAGACUUAAAUAUUAAUCUUUAUUAAUAAGGACUCAUUGCUUUAUCAUUUGUCAGUCUAAAUUUGUGCUCAUUUCCAAAACCCAAGCAUUAGAAUCUUCAAUAAAUAUUGGUAUCUGAAAUUGGAAUGGCAGAAACACUUUUUAAAAACUGCCUUUUAGAACUUUGAACAUUUUCUUAAAGAAAGUUGAACUGAUAUACCUAUAGACAAAUUCAUAUUUAGUGAAUGAGUGAACUAGUCAAAUUAUAAGUUACAUUCCACCAUAAUUUGAAAAUUUUUUAAGUUAAAGUCAAUCACACCUCCAAAUUUGACUUCUAACUUGUAAAACUGAAAAGUUAACAAAAUAAAAAAGGUUUUCCUAGACAUUUAGGAAUCUGUUGCAUUUGUGAUAAUUAGAACAUACAUUUUAGGAAAGGACACUUGGUUAGGGGAGGAAUUAGGAUCCUGAGCAGUUGAACAGGUGACCUGGCUUUGACGUGGGUUUGGAUCCAGGAUGAUACAUGGCAAUCAGGUGGUUCUAGUGAUGCCGGUAGUAGCUCAAAGAAGUGGCUGGGAUUAGAAAACUUAAUUCUAGUCCAGUUUCUGCCACAAACCAGCUAUAUGACUUUGCACUCUUAAAAUCACUUUCCAUUUCCUCAGCUACUAGACAGGAAUAACAAACUUUUCUAGGCUUUAGAAAAAACAACUGUAGAGUUGUUAUGGGGGUAAAUGCACUAGAAGGAGUGAAAGCUUUUUGAAAAUUUAAAAGCACUAAACAAAAAUAUGGAAGUUAUUUUAAGGAUUAGCAUAAAACUAAAUGUGUUUCUUUGAAUCUGUAUUGUUUAUUAUGGCAGAGAUUCUCAUCCAGAUUUGCAGUACUCCAUAAUGCAAAAAUGUCAAAAUAUUGUCAAGUAAAUCAAUUUAAAUUUAAUUUAAUGAAAAUAAGCCAUGAAAAAGUUCCUUCUUAGGUAUUUGGGGGAGAAUAAAAGAGCUUUAAGAUAUCAUAAACAUCAUUUUGGCAUCACUACAAAAAAGUUAGCAGUCUUCUUGCUUUAGACAGUUCUUUUACCUAUCUCUCGGGAGAACUUGCAUAUUAAUUCUCUAAGAAAUCUUAUACCUGGAAUGUCUCCCAGACACUAAGAUUUCAGUCAUCCUUCUCAUUAGAUUGUACAAGUCGGAUUGAAAUCAUUUACACCACCAGAAUUGUGGAGCUCUUUUCCUCACCAAAAAUCAAUAUGUCAAACUAAUCAAUCAAUAAUUGAUUAUCUUAUUUUUUUCUUUCAUAAUCUAUUGAGCACUUACAGUGCUAUCAAGAAUAACAUGCUACCUUGCCCUCAUUUUUUCCCCCUUUUUUAGCAGCACCCCUGGCAUGUGGAAGUUCCUGGGGCAGGGAUCGAAUCCCAUCCACAUAUGCGGGUGACCUACACCACAGCUGAGGUAAAAUGUUGACUCAUUAACAUACUGAGCCACAGCAGGAACUCCAUCUCUCCCUCAUUUUUAUGAGGCAGUUAUAUCUGUAUUCCAGAUGAGAGACUGAUGCACAGUGAAGUUAAGUAACUUGACAGUAACACACAGCUCAUAAGCAGUAAAGUUGGAAUUGAACCAGCUCCAAGUCCUGAGUUCUCAACCACUAGACUGUGUAGUCAGUUCCUAAAGCUCUGUGCUAAUUGCUGAGAUAAGGUAAUUUAGAUUCCUGCCCUCAAACUUUUCAUAGUGGUAAACUGCGGCUUUUACAUCACUUGUGGAUCUGGUGAAAAUGCAGAUUUUCAUUCAGUAGGGUCUGGGAUGGGGCCCAAGAUUGCUUUUCUAAUAAGUUUCCAGAUGAUGCAUUGUUGCUGUUUGGAGAAGACUCCAUUUGGUGAUUUUUGGAAUUACUCUCCUUUCUUGAAGUUUGAUACAGUGUAGCUAAGGCAAGCCAGGUAUACCAAAUUCCUUACUGAGUCCUAUUCUUCCUCCAGAUUUGAUAUUUGUUUCAUCAUAUAGAUGACCUUCCACUUUGGUUUCCUGACUUUAGCCCUCUGCUGCCCUGAGUCACAGCCUGCAUAGCUGUGACCCUGGCUACAUGCUUAGCUCUGGAUUAGACCUUCUCCCCACACUCCCAGUCACUAGCAUUGACAGUCCUAUAUCUGUUGUGGCAGCAGACUGGCAUCUUUAUUCCUUUUACUGCAUCAGAAUCACCUGUGAAGCUUAUUAAACACCUGCAAACCCUCUUAGCACCACUGGCAUAGAUUCUGAUUAAGUAAACCUGGAGUGGGUUUUAGGCUCCUUUAAAAAAAUCUUUCACAAAACUUCAUUAGUGGAUCUAAUGGGCAGCACAUGCUGAAAACACAGUUCCUGGGGGACCCUGCUAUUCCCUGACCUGAUGGGAAUGAUUUGGAAAGUGAUAUUGGCAGAGCUUCUUACCUUUUGUGUUUAAGUUUGACAUGCUCUAGGAAUAUUUUCUCUAUGUUUUUCUAUGUUAGCAAUGGGAGCACAACAUACAAAGAAUUUAAAACUUUCUUGAUCUAGUUUCAGGAAGGCUAUGCUGAAUGAUUGACAUUUGAAUUGAUUAGCUGAUGAAUGGGUAUUUUUUAAGCCAAAGGAAUAGCAUAUGCAAAGACAGAUAAAAAUGAGAAAAGUGUGUUCAAUACUGAGACAUCCAUUUUGACAAAAGUGUUUGUUCAACACACAGAAGGGAGCAGUAGGAGAUAAAAUUAGAAACUAGGUAGCCUUUAGGACCUCAUGUGUUAAACCAAAAUGUUUACACAUCAAUCUACAGACAGAAUUACCAGAGGUUAAGGAGGAAAGCUAGGCGAUCAGAUAUGUGUCUUGGAAAGAUAAUCUUAACAUUGAGGCAUGUAAAUUUAGUGAGGAAAAUUGAAAGCAAGAAGACAAGUUGUGCCUGUGGUAAUAAAGUCUAAAUGAAACAGGAAGGGAUGUUUUUCUCAGGCCAUGUGCCUGAGCCCUAAACGUAACCUUCUCUAUCUCAGACACUGAUGAUGUUUCUUUAUCAUACUUAGAUUUUAUAGUGAUAGACUACAUGGCAUGGCUUUGAGAAUUCAGGGAACUCAAUGUUUUUAUGAGCCAUCACUGGUUCUUCCUUCUCCUGAUUAUUUUACCUUGUAGUGCUGAGACAGCUAGCUCUAGGGUUCUUCCCUCAUGAGCGUCUUAGAGAUAUUAGGUAAUUACUUGUAGCAAAAUCUUCUACAUUAGUCUAAGAGAAACUUAAAACUCGUUAAUGAGCAGCAGUAAGAAAUUUGCCAGUGGUUCAGAGAGUUGUGUCUAGGCCUCUUGAAUGCAGUGCUAUUACUCAGGCUCUUCAGAGAGACUUCCCGUAGUCUAUUAGCUUUGACUCAGCUUGAUUUUUUUUUAUGUCCUGCCUCUGAAUUUGCCCCUUUUAGAGUGAAUUUCAGAUGUGCUUAGGUAUUUCACCCAGUUUUUACUCACUUCAGUAUUUCUUCGUUCUUAGCUAAAUUCUCUUCUUUGACUUUAACCCGCAUGUGCUUAUAUGCUAUGCUGUAAUGGCCCCUAAAAAUAACCACCAGAACCUGUGAAUAUGUUACCACACAUGGCAAAAGGGACUAAGCAAAUGUGAUUAAGGAUCUUCAGGUGUGGAGAUCAUCCUGGAUUAACUGGGUGGGCCAAUGUAGUCACAAGGGCCCUUUUAAGAGAGCGGUAGGAAAGUCAGGCUGAGAAAGCAGUUGGGAGAUGAUAUCUGGCUGGCCUUGAAGAUGGAGGGAGGAGCCAUGUGCUAAGGAAUGCAGACAUCCUCUCAGACUGGAAAAGAGCUCCUGGGCUGUCAUGUAUGAACAACCAAGCUAAUGGAGUGGAGGCAGAGGAGUUAAUGACCAUGGAGGCAUUUAUGGCUAAUAGGGAAUAUACCAGAUGUCCUUGGUGUGUGCAUCCCUGUGGAAUCUGGUUCAUCUCCAAUCUGUCAGAAAGCAUCAGAGGUGGUUUUGAGUCCUUAUGUCCUGAGCCUGUGGACAAAAUGUACCUUGUGUGGAGGAAAAUGAGAUCCCGAGUGAAGUCUACAAUGUCAUUGACUCUGAAGAAGGACUCAGAGACCCAUUGGUGUUUAAUGACCCUUACUGGCCUAUGCAAUGGGAACUGGCUCAGCUAUAUAUGAUCACAGGCCCAUCCCCUAAAACUUAUAUGGAAACUUGAAUGAUGUCAGCUUCUAAAGGACACUGUAUGAAGGACUGGAUUGCCAGUGGUAAGGAGGAGAAAAGGAACAAGAAAAAUUGGAAAGAUAAAUGUGGUCUUUCCAGUGAAGGCUCAAUUUUCCUACAUAAUUCAGAGUUGUGGCUUGGGCAAUGCCAAGAACCACAUCUGCACUGAAAUCAAUUAUCUGUUGGGCUACCGAUGUGCAGAACAAGCUCCCAAUCAGCCACGUGACCGCAAAGAUGACUUCCACUAACAUAGAUGGAGGAUGUGUAGCUCAUUUCAGUGGGACAUCCAGAGUCCUGUCUACAGUGGUUGGAGUUCUGGCUUAAAUUCAAGCAGCUGAAAACACAAGAAAUAAGAAGACCGUUUGAGAAGAGCAGAUAGUUGCCUUAAGAAAAUUCCUGUCAUAUGCACUCUGGGAUUUGGACUCAAAUCCUAAUUAUACAGAUACACAGAGGAGAAGGAAGUCUACCUCGCCAGAGGGACCUCACCAGAACCCAACCAUGCUGGCGCCCUGAACUCAGACUUCCAGCCUCCAGAACUGACCAUGGGCAUUUCUGGAAAUAGUUGUACCGUGGACUAAGCAACACUGUUGCUUCAUGUAGAAUUUUGAGAGACUGCCUCAAGGAACUUGAGCCAUCCAGGAUCUUGCCAUCGGACAAGAUAUCAAUUUCCUUUGAAGGUACUUCUGGUCCGGCAAGUGCUAACUGAAUCACCUUGGUACUUGACAUCGAUGACUGUCAGCAUAAUAAAUGUCUGGUAAGAGUUUAUCUGGUUCAGUUCUUCUGGACUGGAGUGGAACCAUCUUCCAACUCCAUUGUUUGAAUCUCUGGCACCCCAGAGAUGAAGAACAGGGAAUUCUAUACUGUACUCUCAGAGCUUCUGUCUACAGACCAUUUAUGAUUCCACACCCACAAGAUGAUGAUUUCAGGAUGCAGUUUCAUGUGUAAGCCUGCCCCACCUGCACAGCUGAAUUGUAUUCUGUGUAUUCUGUGUGUGGAUGUUCCAAGUUGUAUACGGUAGAGUUGUCUCUGAGACAUAAAGACCAAUGUUCAAGGACCAGAGAGAGUCUUCAGGAACUAAGGGUAGUCUCCAGAUGACAUCCAGCAAGGAACUGGUUUCUGCCAACAACCUGAGUGAGCUUGGUAGGAGAGUCUCCCCUAGGGCCUCUAUACAACCUGACCUGCCAACACCUUGGUUUUGGUCCUGGGAGGCUCUCAGCAGAGAACCAGCUCAGUAACACUGUGCUGGGAUGUCUGGGCCUUUCCUAAGUGGAAGAUUCUUAAUUUGUGCUGAUGAAAGCCACCCAUUUUGUGGUGUUUGGCUCAUAUUGCUGUCUGAAGGCUUUCUUUGUCUUCUCCUGCCCCCUUCAUUUUCACAGGCAUCACCUCCACCUCUUGCAAUUAAGAAAAAAAAUACUUGAGAGAAGUAAGGUUGCAUGAUGAGAGUGCCUUGAUUUCUUAAGAAGCAACACUUUCACAUCAUAAGGGUGCCUGCCCCAGUGUCCUGUUAGAUAGUGAACUGGAGUCUCUAUACUGCCUGUGUGCAGUGAGGAAGAAAUGAGACGUCUUCCUGUUGUGUUUCAGGAAACAAACAGAACACCUUUGUUGUAAGAAAGAAGUUGGAAGAGACCAUUAAUUAUUUAAUUAUUUUUCUUAUCAUCUUCCAUUGCUUUAUUAUCCUUAUCUUUCAGUUCAUAUUUUAUGUGUUUUUUUGAAGUAUAGUUGAUGCACAUGACUAUAAUAAUUAAACAUGUAAAAUAUAAGGAUUCACAUUUUAAGUUACAUUCUGUUUAUACUUAUAAAAUAUCAGAUAUAUUCCUUGUUGUCACAAAAUAUAUGCUUGUCCCUUAUUUUAUACAUAAUAGUUUGUGGCUCUUAAUCUCUCUCCCUGUAUUACCUCUCCCCCUUCCCUCUCCCCACUGGUAGCCACUAGUUUUAUCUGUAUAUCUGUGAUUCUGUUUCUUGUUAUAUUCAUUAGUUUGUUGUAGAUUUUUUUAGA
Non-coding RNA from Sus scrofa (pig), 9690 nucleotides. NCBI's taxonomy places the organism in Eukaryota, Metazoa, Chordata, Mammalia, Artiodactyla, Suidae. The record is from RefSeq and is a predicted model, not a curated record.